AAACAUAGACGCGGCUAAACACAGUAUAGGUAAUAGGUAUUUAGUCCAUUCCGAAGUUGUAGUUUUGUUUUGACAUUUCCCUUCUGACAUAACCUAUAUGUGUAUCAUAAAAUAAUAUAAUAUAUUAUAUACAGGCAUAUUAUGCCUUUUUUGCCUUUACACUUACUUGUGAAUUGAUUUUUUGUUUUAUUUAUUUACUGAAUAUAGAGAGACUUUUAAACUGUCCAAGGUUGUUCUAGCUUUGUUGUUUUAAAAUUUGUGAUGUUUGUUAUAAUGAUAAUAGGAGUCUUAUUUAAAUUGGUGCAUUAAAAGGGAUUUAUUAUAUUAUUAGCAGUAAUUCCAAAUGCGAAUAUUAGAGCAGGGCAUUUAGCACAAAAUAAAUCGAUUUUUAAAUACAGCACCUAGAGAUUUGCAACUUUUUGUAUUGUGUUUAGGAUGGUGUCAGAAAAAAGGUAUACUAUAGAAAAAUGGGUGGAAAUGACCCCCGGUGCUCAAAAAUCCUCCACACUCCAGAAGACAACAUGUCUUAGCAGUGAUCUUGGGCACCAGGUAGUGCAUCCAGAAGGUGACGUGACCAUAGACAUGUUUAAGUCUCUAGACACGAAAAGUUUAAAGUCUCUAGGUGCUGUAUUUAAAAGUCGAUUUAUUCCUAUGUUUUUAGUGCUAAUGGUCUAUAUGUUUCAACACUAUAUCAUGCCCAAAACACGCCAUAAUAAUGUGUUUUGAAAUGUCAUAGAAACCUCAUUUGUGACAUUAUUUACUUUUAAUAUUAUAUGACUACUGCAUAUGCAUCCAAUUUUCUGUAAUUCUUGACGUUUUCGUAAUCGAAUUUUAUCUGCACAUUCUUUUGGCACCAUCCCUAAUUCCUCUAAUUUAAUCUAAUAGCCUUUUAAUAGUCUAAUGAGAUAUGAUGUAAGGUCCAUCUGCACCGAUCUGUUUAAUGGAUUAAAAUUAUUUGAUGUAAUUUAGUAUGUUUACAAAUUAUAAAAAAAAGGGUGCCCGAUAUAAUUUUGUUUUGACUAUAAUUAAUGAAUAAUUAAAAAAUUACUUUUUUUAUAUAUUAAACAGUUAUUUAUGUAUCAAGGUCAUUAAAUAGAUGUUUAUACCCUAAGGGCGACAAGCUUAUAAAUUACAUAAUUAUGUAUGUGGUGAAUAUAAAAUUUUAUGUCAUAGCGGUUCAUUGCGUCAGUUAAAGUUUUAAUUUUAUAAUAUAAUAAAUUAGAAGAAAUACUGUAUCGCAGCAGGUAUUUAGUACUGUUGGUAGAAAAGUGAUGUUGGUUAGCAAUUUGGUAUUAACAUAAACAAAGUUUUUCUAUGUGAAAUUGUCAAAAAAGUCAGAAUGCAAGAGAAAUUCGAUAUUUCUGAAAAAAAGCCAAUAAAGCGACUGAGAAUCUAUUACCAAAUAAACGUAUCUAUGACAAGGAAUACGCUAAAUUUCAACCAUGGAUGACAGAAAAUAAUACUGAAUGCGUAAAUGAGACUGUACUACUGGCAUACACUGUACAGGACGACCAAGAAAAACAUGGAACAAUAGGAUAAGCAAGAUUCUCAAAGAAAGAGGGAAGACAUAGAGUGAGCCGAAGGAACUAGCUAGAGACAGAAAAGAGUGGUGUACAUUUGUAGAAAAAAAUUUAAGAGAGCUUGUACACCUCGACACCUUCGGGUAUAAGAGGUUUUCGAUUAUGUAUGCAUGUUAAUUAUAGUCAGAACAAAAUUAUAUCGGGCACCCCUUGUUUUUUAUAAUUGUUACCAUACUAAAUUACAUAUCCAAUAAUUUUAAUCCAUUAUUAAACAGAUCGGUGCAGAUCGACAUUAUAUUGGAUCCUCUACUAUAAAUAAAAGAUCCAAAGUACCAACAAUACUGUCAGUAGUCCUAAAAUAUAUUUAUUAAAACAUACCAACUGUAGAAAAAUAAUAUAACUUAUCAAAUCUGUUUAUUUAAAAAAUACAGCUACUAUUUAUAAUUAUUAUAAAUAUGAUUUAUACGUAAUCAUUUGAUUUUAAUUUCACACUAUCACUUUGGACGGUUAUAGUCUUUCUGGCAUUAUUCGAAUUUCACUUUUAUCCAAUUGCGGUUGCAACUCCAAUAGAGUCAUGUAACAGUUUUGUAACUUGAUUUGUGGACGUCCGUGAGAGCGGUUGCAACUCCACUGGAGAUUCCUGUGGCAGUUCUGUACUGGAAACUGUGUCAGAGAAAUCCUAAAAAAAUAUUUUUGUUAGAUUCCAAAGCCACAAGAAUAAUGGAAACAUAUAGCAAAGGAAUUUGAAGCAAGAUUGAACUUUCCCCAUUGCUUCGGUGCCGUUGACGGCAAAUAUGUGCAGAGUAUUCUACCAAAUGGGCAAGGUUCCUAUUUUUAUAACUAUAAAGGAUUUCAUAGUAUGGUUUUGAUGGCAGUUGUAAAUGCUAAUUAUGAGUUCAUAAUAUACGAAUUUGGCGUGAAUGGGAGAAUUUGUGAUGGAGGUGUUAUAGAGCAAACAAUAUUUUACAACAAAUUAAAAGAAAAUACAUUACAAAUUCCAGUCUUUGAUCGCCUCAGUGGUUCAGAUAAAAUGCUUAGUGACGUGUUUAUUGGUGUUGAAGCUUUUGCCUUAGCUCCACAUUUCUUAAAACCGUUUAAUCAAAGAGAAUUAACAAAUGAACGCAAAAUAUUCAAUUACCGCCUGUCAAGGACAAGGCGAGUUGUAGAAAAUGCCUUUGGUAUUUUAGCUAACAGAUUUUGAAUUUUCCAUACCACUAUUAAUUUAAAUCUAAAAACUGUAUAUAUCAUUGUCAUGACAUAUUGUGUACUCCAUAACUUUUUGAGAAUUAAAUAUGCUUCAACCUAUACUCCCAUUGGAAGCUUAGACGUUGACAAUAGGAAUGGUUUAAGAACAGAAGAUUCUAAUCUCACUGAUAUGCAGAGAUAACAUUAUAUAAGUAUUUCCAGAGACGCCAAGCAAACUAAGGAUAAACUUUUUUUAUGGUAUUUCAAUAAUGAAGGUAGUGUACCAUGACAAAAUAGCCAUGGUGUAAUUCAUAAUAUAGUUUAAUUAUAGAAUUUAAUUCAAGUUCUAAAUAUUGUGAACGUAGAUAUAGUUUAAUAAAGAAAUUUUUUUAAAUUAA
Long non-coding RNA from Diabrotica virgifera virgifera (western corn rootworm), 3103 nucleotides. RefSeq lists it as uncharacterized. Lineage: Eukaryota; Metazoa; Arthropoda; Insecta; Coleoptera; Chrysomelidae. The transcript is spliced from 2 exons. The record is from RefSeq and is a predicted model, not a curated record.